RNAcentral lists this unclassified non-coding RNA (566 nucleotides) under Hevea brasiliensis (rubber tree). Lineage: Eukaryota; Viridiplantae; Streptophyta; Magnoliopsida; Malpighiales; Euphorbiaceae. The record is from RNAcentral.
GAGGAAUUGACAGUAAACCCUGCAGAUAAACACUACAAGAGCAACAGCGCAAGCACCACCACAGAUCACAUAAAGUCCCCAGAAGCUACUGAGAGAAAGGCGAGUAUCGUCGACUUGGUUGUUUUGUGAAGAGCAUUCAUUGUUAGAUAGCCAUUUGUCAUGGAUCCUUUGUAAUUCACCAUUUUCUGAUAGUUGAAGGAUAGCAGUUGACAAAUCAAUAGCCAGAGGAGAGUCUCUUUGAAAUGCAAAGCCCCAUCCGCUCUUUGUGAACUCCUGUCCUACAGUCCUGAAUAUGCAUUUGCUAUUAGACAAAAAAAGCUCAACAUAAGGGAGCUCGUCGACAAUGGCAGCAACACCACCACCUUUUGGACCAUUCUGGAGGGCGCUAACAUAUUCAGCUUCACUUUUUAUUAUUCGGAGCCGCGACUUUGGAACAUGUAGCUCAUCAAUGAGAUAAUUGUAUGCAAAUGACCCAUCCUGGACUCCUAUAGGAUCAGGGCUUGAGAUUAAACUGUCAAUUCCAGCAACUCCUGAAGACAGCUUCUGCACUGUAAGAAUAGAUGUCA